This 509-nucleotide long non-coding RNA is filed under the name Sorghum bicolor (sorghum). RNAcentral describes it as "long non-coding RNA (SBIC_LNC016898)". The record is from RNAcentral. Lineage: Eukaryota; Viridiplantae; Streptophyta; Magnoliopsida; Poales; Poaceae.
GCCGGCGGCGUCGGCGGAACGUACGGCGGCGUCGGCGGCACGUACGGCGGCACGUAGGGCGGCGACGGCGGCACGUUGGGCGGUGACGGGCGAGGCGUCGGUGGGACGUAUGGCGGCACGUAGGGCGGUGACGGGCGAGGCGUCGGCGGGACGUACGGUGGCACGUACGGCGGCGACGGCCGAGGCGUCGGGGGGACGUAUGGUGGCACGUAGGGCGGCGACGGGCGAGGCGUCGGCGGGACGUACGGUGGCACGUACGGCGGUGACGGCCGAGGCGUCGGCGGGACGUACGGUGGCACGUACGGCGGCGACGGCCGAGGCGUCGGGGGGACGUAUGGUGGCACGUAGGGCGGCGACGGGCGAGGCGUCGGCGGGACGUACGGUGGCACGUACGGCGGUGACGGCCGAGGCGUCGGAGGCACGUACGGCGGGUUGCACGGCGGGCAGUUGGACGGGGGGCCGUGGUGGCGCUUGGGCGGCUUGCCAUGGUGGGGCGGGUGGCUGUGGCC